Molecule: ribosomal RNA, 301 nt
Filed under: uncultured bacterium
Lineage: Bacteria
Description: partial 16S ribosomal RNA
Rfam family: Bacterial small subunit ribosomal RNA
Source: RNAcentral
CAGUCGCCGCGGGAAUACGAAGGGUGCAAGCGUUAAUCGGAAUUACUGGGCGUAAAGCGUGCGUAGGCGGUGAGUUAAGUCUGCUGUGAAAUCCCCGGGCUCAACCUGGGAAUGGCAGUGGAUACUGGCUCGCUAGAGUGUGUCAGAGGAUGGUGGAAUUCCCGGUGUAGCGGUGAAAUGCGUAGAGAUCGGAAGGAACAUCUGUGGCGAAGGCGACUAUCUGGGCCAACACUGACACUGAGGCACGAAAGCGUGGGGAGCAAACAGGAUUAGAUACCCCAGUAGUCCCUGUCUCUUAUAC